GCCUCGAUAGCUCAAUUGGUAGAGCACGUGACUCUUAAUCACUAGGUUGCAGGUUCGAUUCCUGCUCGGGGCA
Molecule: transfer RNA, 73 nt
Filed under: Gemmatimonadales bacterium
Lineage: Bacteria; Pseudomonadati; Gemmatimonadota; Gemmatimonadia; Gemmatimonadales
Description: tRNA-Lys
Rfam family: tRNA
About the family: Transfer RNA (tRNA) molecules are approximately 80 nucleotides in length.
Source: RNAcentral